AUUAAGCGGAGGAAAAGAAACUAACAAGGAUUCCCUUAGUAGCUGCGAGCGAACAGGGAAAAGCUCAGCAUUAAAUCUUGUAACUUAACAGUUAUCAAGAGAUGUAAUGUUUAGGAAGAUUCGUUUAUCCUAAAAUGUACACUUAGUCCAAGUCCACCUUGAAUGGGGCAUAUCCCGUAGAGGGUGCCAGUCCCGUAGUGGCAAGUGUAUAUAAAUCAUUUUAGGUGAAUCUUUCCUUAGAGUCGGGUUGCUUGUAAAUGCAGCUCUAAGUGGGUGGUAAACUCCAUCUAAAGCUAAAUAUAACCACGAGACCGAUAGCGAACAAGUACCAUGAGGGAAAGUUGAAAAGAACUUUGAAGAGAGAGUUCAAGAGUACGUGAAACCGUUCAGGGGUAAACGGGAGAAAUCCGAAUAUCUGAAGGAAGUGAUUCACGUAAAAUCUACAUUGUACUACAUGUUUUGAUCGAUGAUUAUUAAACUCCUUGCCUGUAACUUGUUUAUAUGGUAAGGGUUCAGUUUAAUGUCACGUUUCAUUCAUGUAUAUGUUUAUAAUGUGGUUUAUCGCAUUUCUACCUUCCUUAUUUAUAUAAAAGACGUCGCGACCCAUUGAAUUGCAGUCUAAGAUAUUAUAGAAAGUCCCAUAGAAAAUUGCAUCUUUUUUUAUUAAAAUUUGUAAUCCAUUUUAUGUGGUCCUAUAAAAUAUAUCUGACUGAUUAUUCGAUGGUAUCAAAUAAAGAGAUAACCCGCGUUUUUAACGCGUUUGAGUAUAGUUGUCAUAUAUAUAUAAUUUUCAAUGUGAUUGUUUCUUUUAGUACGGUCCUAAUGGUCCGUCUAAGAGUAAGCAUUGAUAACAAUUAUAUUCUCAAACAAAGUGGUUUCUAUAUAUAUUUUAAAAAUCUCUUGUCAGCGGCGUAUAUGUUUCGGAAUUUCACCCGACCCGUCUUGAAACACGGACCAAGGAGUCUAACAUGUGCGCAAGUCAUUGGGCAUAUAAAACCUAAAGGCAUAAUGAAAGUAAAGAAUUGAUUUGAUACCAAUUUAUAGGAUGAUAGAUUAUUAUCAUUUUUUUUUUUUUUAUUAAGAAAUGAUGAAUAAUCUCGCAAUCCUGGGGCGUCUCAUUCUCAUUGCGAGAAGAGGCGCACCUUGAGCGUACACGUUGGGACCCGAAAGAUGGUGAACUAUGCCUGGCGAGGACAAAGUCAGGGGAAACCCUGAUGGAGGUCCGUAGCGAUUCUGACGUGCAAAUCGAUCGUCGGAGCUGGGUAUAGGGGCGAAAGACUAAUCGAACCAUCUAGUAGCUGGUUCCCUCCGAAGUUUCCCUCAGGAUAGCUGGCAUUCGGAGUUAUAAAAAGAAAGAACGAGUCUCAUGCGGUAAAGCGAAUGAUUAGAGGCCUUGGGGCCGAAACGACCUCAACCUAUUCUCAAACUUUAAAUGGGUGAGAUCUCUGGCUUGCUUAAAUGAAGCUGUGAGUUUUAUUAUAUAUUUUUUAAAAAUAUAUAAAUAUGGAUCAGAGUGCCAAGUGGGCCACUUUUGGUAAGCAGAACUGGCGCUGUGGGAUGAACCAAACGUUGAGUUAAGGCGCCAAACACGACGCUCAUGGGAAACCAUGAAAGGCGUUGGUUGCUUAAGACAGCAGGACGGUGGCCAUGGAAGUCGGAAUCCGCUAAGGAGUGUGUAACAACUCACCUGCCGAAGCAACUAGCCCUGAAAAUGGAUGGCGCUGAAGCGUCGGGCCUAUACUCAACCGUCAGUGGCAAAAUGAAUAAAUUAUUUUUUUUUUUAAUUUAUUUUAAAGCCCUGCCGAGUAGGAGGGUCGCGGCGGUGAGCGUAAAAGGGUCUGGGCGUAAGCCUGCCUGGAGCCGCCGUCGGUGCAGAUCUUGGUGGUAGUAGC
Molecule: ribosomal RNA, 1892 nt
Filed under: Tagalina sp. BYU_ACDM014
Lineage: Eukaryota; Metazoa; Arthropoda; Insecta; Dermaptera; Pygidicranidae
Description: eukaryotic LSU rRNA
Rfam family: Eukaryotic large subunit ribosomal RNA
Source: RNAcentral